AGUUAGUGGCGGACGGGUGAGUAACACGUGGGAACGUGCCUUUUGGUUCGGAAUAGCUCCUGGAAACGGGUGGUAAUGCCGAAUGUGCCCUUCGGGGGAAAGAUUUAUCGCCAUUAGAGCGGCCCGCGUCUGAUUAGCUAGUUGGUGAGGUAAAGGCUCACCAAGGCUACGAUCAGUAGCUGGUCUGAGAGGAUGACCAGCCACAUUGGGACUGAGACACGGCCCAAACUCCUACGGGAGGCAGCAGUGGGGAAUCUUGCGCAAUGGGCGAAAGCCUGACGCAGCCAUGCCGCGUGAAUGAUGAAGGUCUUAGGAUUGUAAAAUUCUUUCACCGGGGACGAUAAUGACGGUACCCGGAGAAGAAGCCCCGGCUAACUUCGUGCCAGCAGCCGCGGUAAUACGAAGGGGGCUAGCGUUGCUCGGAAUUACUGGGCGUAAAGGGAGCGUAGGCGGACAUUUAAGUCAGGGGUGAAAUCCCAGAGCUCAACUCUGGAACUGCCUUUGAUACUGGGUGUCUUGAGUGUGAGAGAGGUAUGUGGAACUCCGAGUGUAGAGGUGAAAUUCGUAGAUAUUCGGAAGAACACCAGUGGCGAAGGCGACAUACUGGCUCAUUACUGACGCUGAGGCUCGAAAGCGUGGGGAGCAAACAGGAUUAGAUACCCUGGUAGUCCACGCCGUAAACGAUGAUUGCUAGUUGUCGGGAAGUUUACUUCUCGGUGACGCAGCUAACGCA
Molecule: ribosomal RNA, 733 nt
Filed under: Brevundimonas subvibrioides
Lineage: Bacteria; Pseudomonadati; Pseudomonadota; Alphaproteobacteria; Caulobacterales; Caulobacteraceae
Description: bacterial SSU rRNA
Rfam family: Bacterial small subunit ribosomal RNA
Source: RNAcentral